Vespula pensylvanica (western yellowjacket) is the source of this 2269-nucleotide long non-coding RNA. RefSeq lists it as uncharacterized. The transcript has 6 exons. Lineage: Eukaryota; Metazoa; Arthropoda; Insecta; Hymenoptera; Vespidae. The record is from RefSeq and is a predicted model, not a curated record.
AGAAAAGAAAAAAGAAAAGAAAAGAAAAGAAAAGAAAAGAAAAGAAAGAAAUAACAAGCGGAAGAGAAAAAGUCUCUAACGAUAAUUACCAAAGAAGAAGUUACCCCCGAAACGCGAUUACGGAUUUCUUUGAAAUUUCGACGAAAGAAAAAAGAAAAAAAGAAGAAAGAAAGAGAGAGAAAAAUGAAGGUGGUACAAUCGAAUCGCGUUGCUUUUCCUUCAACCCCCGCAUCGAUCGAAACCAAGUUUUUUUAACGAUGUUAUCAUUUGCCGAGCCGAAGGAAGAGGAUCGAAGAAAAGUGAGUUCUGUGAUCGAAACUAAUUUUCCUGGUGUAGGACGGGAGAGCCGAAGACGGGAGGGGGUUUAAAUUCGGACGAAGAGAAGAGAUGCUUACGUAAAGUGCAUUCAUCCUCCGUAAUGUUCUCUGUGAACAUCGAAAUAAUCUAUCUCUCCCUCUCUCUUUCUCUCUCUCUCUCUCUCUUUCUCCCUGUUCGAAGACUUCUUUGAGAAAUAAGAAUCGUCACUGUCUACUGUUACAUCGUGCCGAUAAGUUCUUCUGUUACGACAACUGAAAGUUUCAUUGAAAUAUCUAACGAACAAACACGGAGAUUUGUAUGACGUGUAUAAAACCAUCGGACCGACCUCGAUAAUUGCGAUGACUACCAUUCUGUCCUGGAUAUACAUAUGUCGUCGAGUACUACGGUCGUCGUACCGAAAGAAAACUCGCCUAUACGAGAUGAGCAGGACAUAUCAACAUUACGUAAAGCAGAUAAACGAGGAGAUAUACGGCGAUGGUGAUGUACUAAACGCUAUUCCUUCGAGCUUUCUGAAAGGAAAAAAACGGGACAUUGAAACGCCAGGAUGAAAUCGAUCGAUCGAUCGAUCGAUUAAUCGAUCUAGAAAGACGCAGCCAACGAUCUUCGAUCAUGAAGAAGGCGCAUCAACAAAAAGUGAGAUCCGUCCUGUCCGAACCGCAACGUGCCUUACUUUCAACCAACAUCAACCGGUCACGAGACGAUUCACUUUGCGGAGAUGAAACAUGCAGCCUGUUUAAUUAUGAUUUUAUAUAUAUAUAUAUAUAUAAUUUUUUUUUUUUUUUUAUAAAAUACACCGAGAUAAUACAUCAUCGUAAUAUUGGAGAACGAAAAAGAAAAAUUAAAGAGAAGGAGAGAGUUUAAAUGGCAACGAAAACAAGAAAGAAAUAUGAUUAUUGGAACGUUGCUGGAUCGUUUUUUUUUCUGUUCGAAUACCAUAAGAGGGAAGAUUUUAAUCGCACGACCAGACACUAUCGUUUGUACAUAAGGGAAUUGAUUCAACAGGAGUAUAUGUACAUCUCGAUCUCGAUCUUGAUCUCGAUCUCGAUAACAACGUCUAACGAUUCAUUCGAUUAGUCGAGGUUAAUUAUAUCGAUAGUUUUUUCUCUGAUUGGUAUUUUAACGAGACAAUUUUAAUUAAUUCUAUUAUUCUGCGACAAGUAUACAUUAUCAGUUCGCCAUACCACCCCUUCGAUAUAUGAUCUUUCUCGUGAAAGUAAUCAUUUAUCGUAGGACACUCGUUCGAGAUUGUUUUCUUUCUUUUUUUCUUUUCUUUCCUUCCUUUUCAACGUUAGAAAAUUUCUUCGAAAGCAUAAGAUAUUAUUUGUUGUUUGAUGUUAUAUAACGAAGUUGAAUGUUAAAAAUUUUAUGUUUAUUUCGAUGUUUAAAUUCAAUCGAAGAUAAAUUCGAAUAAUUCGAUCAUGUCAAAACGUGAAAAUUUGCGUCGAAGUCUUUUGUAUAGAAAGAAAGAAAGAAAGAAAGAAAAAAGAAAGAGGAUUCAUAAAGCAUGCACAUUACAUCGUCAAUUGAUUUGUGUUAAGUAAUUAUAAAGUUCUUUCUCUCUUUCUCGUUCUGUCUCUUUCGAAUCGAUGAAACUCGGCUGAUUUAUUAUUUAAAUUGACGGAUAAAGCAGGCAAGAUAAAAAAUUACAAAAAGAAUUGGAAAUUGAAAGAAGAAAGAUAUAUGUAUUCUUUAAUGGUGUAGAUUCGAGAGAUUAUUUUAAAAGUUUACAUAAUGUGUGUGUGUAUAUAUAUAUGUAUAUAUACAUACAUAGAUACAUACACACAUAUAAACGUAUUUACUUGACAUUUAUACAUCUUUCUGCAAAGUGUCCCUUGAUAGAAGUAACACGUGCUUUCAAUUUUAGCCUUAUUACGUUAUAAGAUAGUCUAAUUAUAUAGAAUAGUAUAUAGGAUAUAUGUUGAGAGACUUUAUAGAAAAAGAAAAAGAUAAA